This is a long non-coding RNA of Sapajus apella (tufted capuchin), 2554 nucleotides long. RefSeq lists it as uncharacterized. The transcript has 2 exons. The record is from RefSeq and is a predicted model, not a curated record. NCBI's taxonomy places the organism in Eukaryota, Metazoa, Chordata, Mammalia, Primates, Cebidae.
AGUGAGCAGAGGCCAGUGCACUCCAGUCUGGGCAACAAGAACAAGAGAGCGAAAUUCUGUCUCAAAAAAAGAAAAAGAAAAAAAGUGCAUAGAAAGGAUGAAGCCAUACAGCACACCUUGCUCUCAUUGGAUUCAUAUUACCCUUAAAUCUUCACUUAAACCAACACAAAAUUGCCACAUAUAUGACAUACAGCCUUCGAGUUUAACAAAGAUUAAGUGGGACUGUCUUUUGGCAUCUUGAUAAUUUUAUUUUAUGUACAGAAAAGGAAACUUGACAACUAAAAAGAGAAUUUAACAUAAAAUGUGAUUGUCCUCUUCCAAACUGCUUUCCCACCUGUUUGCCAGUUAUUCAACAAACGUUUAUUGAGUACCCAGUAUAUACAAGGAAUUUCCUACGCACUCUGAAGACUAAAAGGAUUAAUAAAAUGUAGCAUUCACUAGCAGGUCCCUACAUAGAAGUCAGAUAAUUUGGUUCCAGUCUUUUCAGACUUCAUUUUCCACCUUUCUCUAUUCACCCUGCAAAGCAGACACUAGUUGCCAUUCCUCAAACACACCUUGCUGUCUCACAUCUCCAUUCCUUUGUCAGUGUUCCUGACUGCCUCAGCUGCCUUUCCUUUUACACACACACACACACACACACACACACACGGAAAUAAUCUUAUACAACCCAAGGACACAGAGAGCAGUAAGAUCUCUUGAAGGACUGAAAUAGGGACCUAAUGUAUCAACAGGAAGCCAAGCAUUUGGCUUUUUUCUAUUUUUUUUUUUCUCUGCGUACAUGUUCUUCCAUCUCUGCUUCUCUCUACAAAGCUGCUUUAUAAUCUCUACAGACCUGUUUUCACUGCUUUUUUGGGAACGUAAUCCAGGUUUACCCAGCCUCACUUCAGUAACCAACAGAGACUAAUUAGUAUCUGAAUCCCAGUCCCCAGGAGAAAGAAUUUGAUUGGUUCAAUUUAUGUCAGCCUGUGUACUCUCGGUACAAUCACCUUUGACCAACAGGGCAAUUUGUAGCCAGGACUCUUUGUUUUGUAAUGCAAACAUGGCUGCCAGAACUCCAUCUUUGUAGGCUAUGUUGUCAAAGAAAGUUCUGUACUUGGCGAAGAUUCCAGAAAAUGUCCAGCACAGGCCAUAAAGGAGUAAAUCGCAGCUGAAAUUCAGAAGCAUAAAGAACAAUGGACAUGUUGAGGAUUUUCAACAGACUAACUCCUACUUGAACAAUUUCAGACCUGAAUUUAAAUGCCACUCCUUCAAAGAAGUCAUCGCUGACCCAAGCCCCAAUCAAAAUUAGGUGGCCCCAUUAUUAUCUUACAUGGCACUCUUUUUCUGUACCUAUCACAGUUUGUAAUUAAAUACGUCGUUGUGAGUCUCCUCUCGGAAGAGUCAUAUCUGUUUUGUUUACUAUGUUAUACACAAUACUCAAGGUGCAUUUGGGAGGCAUUCAAUACUUGUUGCAUGAAUAAAAAGGCACAAUAAUUUGUUAGUUAUUGUGAGACCCACAAAUGGAUUGGCAUCGUAGUUAGACAAUCCUGGGGGAAUGUCUCAGUCACCAACCCACCCUCCCUGGAAGAUAUUGAAGCUCACUGCUUUUUCCUUUUUUUUUUUUCUUCUGACCUCAUUUAUCACAAGGCUGCCAUCUUUUUUGUCACACUGAGGUUGUAUGAGAUGUGCCACAAUAUUUAUCUGCUGCUUAUGACGUUCCUCCCCAGCUAACUCUUUACUCUUAGUUGCCAGUGUCUCUAUCUGUAGAGCCCUUGAUCCAGUUCCUAUAACAAGACCACUUAACUGACUGAAAGCUCAGAGAGGACAUAAAAUUUCAGGGCAUCAUCAAAUUAGGGGAGCAAAGUGUGGGGGUAAUUGGCAGAAGUGAUUUUGUCGUAAUUGUCUUGACUAUUUUCUAUCAUGGAUUACGUUCCAGAUGAACCUGUGAUGUGACUCCUGGGAGUAGUUUGCAAUCACCAUUGGUCCAAAAGGAGCCAUCUAUGUGCUUAGUGGGGUCUAGUAAAGGAUAAUAUUAAUUCUUCAGCAGCCAGAGCUCUUGAAGUAAGAACUGAAGGUGUACAGAAAAGAGCCCGGUAUGAUUCAAGGUCAGGAGCACACAGUGGCUGCUUUCUUGUCACUUAUGGUCCAGUUGGCAUGGAUAAACUCUCAGAGCCAAGGGAAAAGAAGGGCAACCAAGCAUACCAUCUCCAGCCCCUCUCAGGAAACUAAAAAUAAAUUAAAUAAAAUGAAGAAUGUGGCGGGGAGGAGAGGAGAAAAUUUCACAUCCCAUGUUCCUCAUGUUGAUGAAGCAAUUGCUGACUUCCCUGCUGCUCACACCCAUCUUGGUGUGAAAUUUGAUUUUGCUGACUUUUAAAUUUCUUUUUGAGAAUGGAAAUAAUUGUUUUUUUCCAGAAAUACUUGACCUUAGUGGGGAAAAAGAAAUUCAAACAAUGAGAAAGCAAAAGUCCUCCCUAAUACCGUCAUCCCCCAGAGAUACCCUUGAUUAAGAGUUUGGGGUAUAGCCCUCGCGGCUUUUCAUUCUUGUAUGAUCAUGUAAAUGGAAUCAUGUAACACA